Molecule: ribosomal RNA, 460 nt
Filed under: uncultured bacterium
Lineage: Bacteria
Description: partial 16S ribosomal RNA
Rfam family: Bacterial small subunit ribosomal RNA
Source: RNAcentral
CCUACGGGAGGCAGCAGUGAGGAAUAUUGGUCAAUGGCCGCAAGGCUGAACCAGCCAAGCCGCGUGCAGGAAGAAGGAUCUAUGGUUUGUAAACUUCUUUUAUAGGGGAAUAAAGGUAUCCACGUGUGGAUAUUUGCAUGUACCCUAUGAAUAAGCAUCGGCUAACUCCGUGCCAGCAGCCGCGGUAAUACGGAGGAUGCGAGCGUUAUCCGGAUUUAUUGGGUUUAACGGGUGCGUAGGUUGUUUUUUAAGUCAGCGGUGAAAUUUUGUGGGUCAACCAUAAAAUUGCCGUUGAAUCUGGAAGACUUGGGUGGGUGUGAGGUAAGCGGAAUGCGUGGGGUAGCGGUUAAAUGCAUAAAUAACACGCAGAAAUCCGAUUGGGAAGGCAGCUUACUAAGCCAUAACUGACACUGAAGCACGAAAGCGGGGGGAUCAAACAGGAUUAGAUACCCCUGUAGUC